RNAcentral lists this transfer RNA (74 nucleotides) under Porphyra purpurea. RNAcentral describes it as "tRNA-Arg". It matches the Rfam family "tRNA". Rfam says of the family: Transfer RNA (tRNA) molecules are approximately 80 nucleotides in length. The record is from RNAcentral. Lineage: Eukaryota; Rhodophyta; Bangiophyceae; Bangiales; Bangiaceae.
GCGUUUGUAGCUUAAUUGGACAGAGCAUUAGACUACGAAUCUAGGGGUUGAAAGUUCAAGUCUUUCCAAACGUA